Molecule: ribosomal RNA, 460 nt
Filed under: uncultured bacterium
Lineage: Bacteria
Description: bacterial SSU rRNA
Rfam family: Bacterial small subunit ribosomal RNA
Source: RNAcentral
AGCGAACGCUGGCGGCAGGCUUAACACAUGCAAGUCGAACGGGCGUAGCAAUACGUCAGUGGCAGACGGGUGAGUAACACGUGGGAACGUACCUUUUGGUUCGGAACAACUGAGGGAAACUUCAGCUAAUACCGGAUAAGCCCUUACGGGGAAAGAUUUAUCGCCGAAAGAUCGGCCCGCGUCUGAUUAGCUAGUUGGUGGGGUAAGAGCCCACCAAGGCGACGAUCAGUAGCUGGUCUGAGAGGAUGAUCAGCCACAUUGGGACUGAGACACGGCCCAAACUCCUACGGGAGGCAGCAGUGGGGAAUAUUGGACAAUGGGCGAAAGCCUGAUCCAGCCAUGCCGCGUGAGUGAUGAAGGCCCUAGGGUUGUAAAGCUCUUUUAACGGGGAAGAUAAUGACGGUACCCGUAGAAUAAGCCCGGCUAACUUCGUGCCAGCAGCCGCGGUAAAGUCUGUACU